UCCUCUCAUGGGGCCUGGCAGAGAAAAGCAUGGCUAGGCCAACUCAAGGCACUGUGGGAUCAGGGACUGUUUGCACCAUGAGCUGGACUCCUCUUCUCCUCCUGUUCCUCUCUCACCGCUCAGUUUUCCUCUCUCAGACUGUGGUGACCCAGGUAUUCUCACUCUCUGCAUGUCCUGGAGCAGCUGCCAGACUUUAUUGCACCUUGAGAAGUGACAUCAGUGUCAGUGGUGCGCACACGUACUGGUAUGAGCAGAAGCCACAGAGUCCUCCCAGGUUUCUCCUACACUACUACUCAGACUCCAAUGAGAAAGGGGGGUCUGACAUCCCCAGUCACUUGUUUGGUUCAAAAGACAUCUCAGCCAAUGUAGGCAUUUUGCAUAUUUCUGGGCUGCAGCCUGAGGAUGAAGCUGACUAUCACUGUAGCAUCUGGUACAGCAGUGCUUAUCACAGUGACACCCACUGA
Molecule: non-coding RNA, 464 nt
Organism: Cavia porcellus (domestic guinea pig)
Lineage: Eukaryota; Metazoa; Chordata; Mammalia; Rodentia; Caviidae
Source: the annotation of a RefSeq genome assembly